UCAGUGAAUCAUCGAAUCUUUGAACGCACAUUGCGCCCGCCAGCACUCUGGCGGGCAUGCCUGUCCGAGCGUCAU
This 75-nucleotide ribosomal RNA is filed under the name Hapsidospora chrysogena. RNAcentral's name for it is "Acremonium chrysogenum 5.8S ribosomal RNA". It matches the Rfam family "5.8S ribosomal RNA", at positions 81 to 154 of the family's 154-position model. Rfam says of the family: 5.8S ribosomal RNA (5.8S rRNA) is a component of the large subunit of the eukaryotic ribosome. It is transcribed by RNA polymerase I as part of the 45S precursor that also contains 18S and 28S rRNA. RNAcentral also lists the same sequence under 1 other name. The record is from RNAcentral. Lineage: Eukaryota; Fungi; Ascomycota; Sordariomycetes; Hypocreales; Bionectriaceae.